Molecule: ribosomal RNA, 502 nt
Filed under: uncultured Rhodococcus sp.
Lineage: Bacteria; Bacillati; Actinomycetota; Actinomycetes; Mycobacteriales; Nocardiaceae
Description: bacterial SSU rRNA
Rfam family: Bacterial small subunit ribosomal RNA
Source: RNAcentral
GCCUACAAGAAACGUUAAAAGGUAAGUUAGGACGGGGCCCCGGCACGAAGACGGCGGAGCAUGUGGAUUAAUUCGAUGCAACGCGAAGAACCUUACUGGGUUUGACAUAUACCGGAAAGCUGCAGAGAUGUGGCCCCCCUUGUGGUCGGUAUACAGGUGGUGCAUGGCUGUCGUCAGCUCGUGUCGUGAGAUGUUGGGUUAAGCCCCGCAACGAGCGCAACCCCUAUCUUAUGUUGCCAGCACGUUAUGGUGGGGACUCGUAAGAGACUGCCGGGGUCAACUCGGAGGAAGGUGGGGACGACGUCAAGUCAUCAUGCCCCUUAUGUCCAGGGCUUCACACAUGCUACAAUGGCCAGUACAGAGGGCUGCGAGACCGUGAGGUGGAGCGAAUCCCUUAAAGCUGGUCUCAGUUCGGAUCGGGGUCUGCAACUCGACCCCGUGAAGUCGGAGUCGCUAGUAAUCGCAGAUCAGCAACGCUGCGGUGAAUACGUUCCCGGGCCUU